Molecule: ribosomal RNA, 207 nt
Filed under: uncultured bacterium
Lineage: Bacteria
Description: partial 16S ribosomal RNA
Rfam family: Bacterial small subunit ribosomal RNA
Source: RNAcentral
CGCGUAGGCGGGCCUUCAAGUCGGGUGUGAAAACUGACAGCUUAACUGUCAGCCUGCACUCGAUACUGUUGGUCUUGAGUACAGUAGAGGAAAGCGGAAUUCCAGGUGUAGCGGUGAAAUGCGUAGAUAUCUGGAAGAACACCAGUAGCGAAGGCGGCUUUCUGGGCUGAUACUGACGCUGAAGCGCGAAGGCUAGGGUAGCAAACA